GCACCCAUAGCUCAGCGGAUUAGAGCGUCUGUCUUCGGAACAGAAGGUCGCAGGUUCGAACCCUGCUGGGUGUACCA
RNAcentral lists this transfer RNA (77 nucleotides) under Candidatus Saccharimonadota bacterium. Its description in RNAcentral is "tRNA-Arg". It matches the Rfam family "tRNA". From Rfam's summary of the family: Transfer RNA (tRNA) molecules are approximately 80 nucleotides in length. Their secondary structure includes four short double-helical elements and three loops (D, anti-codon, and T loops). Further hydrogen bonds mediate the characteristic L-shaped molecular structure. tRNAs have two regions of fundamental functional importance: the anti-codon, which is responsible for specific mRNA codon recognition, and the 3' end, to which the tRNAs corresponding amino acid is attached (by aminoacyl-tRNA synthetases). tRNAs cope with the degeneracy of the genetic code in two manners: having more than one tRNA (with a specific anti-codon) for a particular amino acid; and 'wobble' base-pairing, i.e. permitting non-standard base-pairing at the 3rd anti-codon position. Lineage: Bacteria; Candidatus Saccharimonadota. The record is from RNAcentral.